AUGUUCUUGAACCACUCUGGGGCGACAUAUCCUCGAGUACCUCUAAUACCGGUGUUUGUCCUUGUCUGAUUUCUCAAGAGAAGCUUCGCUAGGCCAAAGUCUGAAAUCUUUGCGACAAGGUUGUCGUCAAGAAGAAUGUUAUGCGGCUUUAUGUCACGGUGGAUGAUUUGUGUGCUACACUCUUCAUGCAAGUAGAGCAACCCUCUUGCCACCCCAAGUGCGAUAUGA
RNAcentral lists this ribosomal RNA (228 nucleotides) under Triticum aestivum (bread wheat). RNAcentral's name for it is "partial small subunit ribosomal RNA". The record is from RNAcentral. Lineage: Eukaryota; Viridiplantae; Streptophyta; Magnoliopsida; Poales; Poaceae.